GCUGCGGCGCGGUUGUCGGGCACGCGCGGGUCGCUCUAGGCCUUGCAGGCUACCAAACGGUUUGGAAAGACGCAUUUCUGGCUAACUGUGCCAUCCCGCAUGUGUUCAUCACAGAAGUUACCGGCAGCAGAGCUCGGCGGAAUCCGGGCAGGAGGCCUUGUGCGGGCCGCGGCGACCCUUCCCAGCCGAAACUGUUGCGGAGCCCGCUCUCCAUAGGGCUGGGAACUUAGGCACCGAGGCCUAGUCCCAAGACCCACACCCCCAGGACCCCUUUGUCCCCGUCCGCCGCUAGGCAACGACUCUCUCCGGAGCCUCGGGUCAGUGAGCUCUUCGCUCUUUACCGAGAUGGAAGCGGGGCCUGGGGCGCGCUGGCCCGGACCCUGACUCAACGUGAUUCUUCCUGGCUGGCUUCGUGCUUUUAAGUUAUAUUUUAUUUAUCUUUUAAAAUGAGGGCGGCAGGCUAUGAAGUAGGAAAGAAAGAUGACCCUACCCCCUGCUCUUCCUAGUUCGGUUUCUCGCUCUCUGCUUCGGAUGAACCCUACUCUUUUUGCGGGGCCACGUGUUGCUCGCCGUGGUGAACGACCCUAAAUUCUUAUUAAGACCCGGCCCCCAGUGAACUGCAGCUGCUUCCGUGUCCUUGGGGCACUAGGCAGACUCUUUUGAAAUUACUUUUGCUUUAAUAAUUAAUGUUAGAGUUAUAAAUCCGAAGCCUGGUUAUUUCGAAAUAGUAUAUAUGCUGGUAAAUUAAAAAAAAAUCAUUUUAAGGGGCUUUUUAAAAACAAAUUCCCAUAACUAGAGCGUAUUUAUAAAUUUAUUUUCUUAAGCAGUUCAGUUAUUUGACAAAAUCCAAGUACUGAGCUCAUUCUUAAAACCUAAAAUAUUAAAAUUUUACGUGUGGUUGGUAAGUCUUAAAAUCUUAUGGUCUCGAUAUAUUGCUUACAAAUAUGCUUAAAUCUUGUUACACGUAUCUGCUUAAAGUUAGGAAUCUGAAGCAGUUACGCAAGAUCAUGUUUUAAAGUGAAAUUGCAAAAUUAAUGUAUUAUAUCGGUAUGGUAAGUUCUUUUAAGCGUUAUAAAUAGCAAAUUAAAUAGAAGUUUCUGAAGUGUGAUGGAAAAUAUCAAUGAUAUGACUGAUUUACUUCGUUACUCCUAUAUUUAAUCCUAAAUAUUUCUAGGAUUACUGGUACUUAUUUUCUAAAGUAGGGAUUUCAAAGUUGGAAUCUAUUAAGAAAUUGCAGAAUUUAGACAUUCUUAGCUUUUUUUUUUUUUUUUUUUUUGCCAUUUCUUGGGCCGCUCCCACGGCAUAUGGAGGUUCCCAGGCUAGGGAUUGAAUCAGAGCUGCAGCCGCCGGCCUACACCAGAGCCACAGCAACGUGGGAUCCGAGCCGCGUCUGCGACCUAUACCACAGCCCACGGCAACCCCGGAUCGUUAACCCACUGAGCAAGGGCAGGGAUCGAACCCGCAACCUCAUGGUUCCUAGUCGGAUUUCGUUAACCACUGCGCCACAACGGGAACUCCCAUUCUUAGCAUUUAAAAAAAAAAAAAAAAAAAAAAAAAGAAAGAGCAUUAAUAUGUGAAACUUUUGUUUCAGUUAAACAUACAUAUGCAUAUGAAUAAAUAUAUACACGUACACACAAGUAUAUGUAGUAUAUAUAUGUUACAUAAAUGCACAUUUCUGUAGAUUAAAUACAAGAAGUCUGAGUGUCACUGAGCUGAAAAUUAACCACAGUCAUACUUGGGGUGGAUUUGAGUCCUCUGAUCAUAAAGGAGCUGUGCUAAAGCAGUUUGCUAACUUAAAGAGGUGGCUGAAGAAAAGUGUGCUUCCACUAGUGAGAUAGAAACGCUUGUGAUUAGGUGGGGACAUGAUGUAAACACUAGAAAUACUUCUUAGGCUUCCUUCCUCUCUUUACUAAACUAUCUCCACGGAGACUUCAUAAUCCUGACCUCUGUGGGCAUCUCUGCAGCAUGUGAUGUCAAAGACCCUGUCUUUUCCUUUGGGCUAAUUGUUAGGUUCACCGAACUUGGGAAAUGAUUCUUUUUUUAUUUUUUAUUUUUUGCCUUUUCUAGGGCCACACCUGCAGCACGUGGAGGUUCCUAGGCUAGGGGUCUAAUCGGAGCUGUAGCCGCUGGCCUAUGCCACAGCCACAGCAACGCCAGAUCCGAGCCAUGUCUUUGACCUACACCACAGCUCAUGGCAACACCAGAUCCUUAACCCACUGAGCGAGGCCAGGGAAGGAACCCGCAAUGUCAUGGUUCCUAGUUGGCUUGUUAACCACUGAGCCAUGAUGGGAACUCCGGGAAAUGAUUCUUAAGCAGCAGUAAAAAUGAAUCAGGGUCAGCAACUUAACAAUGUAACCUCAAGUCAAUCAGUCAGCCUUCCUGAACUUUCAUUUCUUUGGCAGAAUGAAGAUAGAGGAUUCCCUCAUUCCUUCAAUAAACAUUUUACUGAACAUCUGUAGGCCAGGUGUGACACAGGUGUGGUACCUGGCGUGUAGUAGGAACUCAACAAAUGUUGGUGGACUUGUUCUUUUGUCCUCUUUAUCAAUAAAUAGGGCAACAACACUUCAUUUUACCCAUUCUCAGUUGAGUCCCAGUUCUCCCAUCACUUCCCAUAGAAUCUACUAAAGCCCCAUUUUAAAAAUAUGCCCAGCUGCUCUGAUUCAUUUCUAUCACUUUAGCCAUUAACUUGCACGUGUAGACCAGGCAUCUCUGAGCAGUUUAGUUUUACAUGGUGAAACAGUUAAAAAUACAUUCCAUUUUUUCAACUUCCAGUAGCAGUAGAUGGACAGUUUACUGAUUAAAUGUUGUUGGAACCUGGAAAGCAUGUUCAGUGUAUAAACCUGCCAAUUACUAGUAUCUCAGUUGUUCUUGUUUGAAGAGUGUUGCUAAAAAUCUUCCAGAUUUCCCCUCCCCAAGUCUUUUUCAAAAUGGCACAGGGGUUUAGGGAGCCCUCUCAUAGCCUAGUUGCAGGGGAGAGGGGGAUGUCCUUUCCUUGUGCUCGGGUUCCAGUGCUGUGUCUUGGGACCCCCUCAAUUCCUGCUGUAAAAUGGCUGUUUUGGACUUGCACCUGGGCCUGUGCACUCACUCUGUUCUCAGAGACACGCUGAUCUCAGCCAGAUGCUUGAAAUCCCUGAGCUCUGGGUCUCCUUACUUCAGGCCUCUACUGGUUCCAAGCCAUGUGGCACUUUUGUGUUUCCAGACUGAGGCAGGCAUGGUCUUUGGGGUCACCUACCUGCCGCAGAUAGGCUGAGAGGACCAGGCUCAUUACCAGAGGGACUUUUAUCCUAACCCUUCCCUCGUGAACGCUCUAUUUAGCUUUCCUGUGCUGUAUUGACCAUUGCAUUGGGCUAAAUGUGGUACUUCUAGAGCAAGGGUCAGCAAACUAUGAUCCUGGGACCAAAUCUGACCUAUGGCUUGUUUUUGUAGAGCCCAAGAGCUAAGAAUGAUUUUCACUUUUUUUUUUUUUUCCUGUCUUUUUAGGACCACACUCAUGGCAUAUGGAGGAUCCCAGGCUAGGGCUUGAAUUGGAGCUGUAGCUGCCCGCCUACACCACAGCCACAGCAACCCACCGAGCCAAGCCAGGGAUUGAACCUGCAUCCUCAUGGUUACUGGUCAGAUUGGUUACCACUGAGCCACGACAGGAACUCUCUGAUUUUCACAUUUUUAAAGGGUUAUUAAAAAAAAAAAGCAGUGGAGAUUAUAUGUAGCCCACAAAGUCUAAAAUAUUUAUCAUCUGACCAUUUAUUCAAAAGGAUUGCCAAUUCCUUGUUCUUGAUGUAUGUUUGCUUCAUCUGUGCUAUGUUCGGGGAGCAUGGCAGAAAUUAACAGAUAUAUUUGUAGAAAUUUAAAAGACACGCAAUAACUCAUUAGCGAAUUAGGCAUGGCUUAAGAGUAUUAGUGAACUCGAAGAUCUAACCAAAUAAUUGAUCCAGGAUUCAACAGAGAGAGAUAAGGAAGUGAAAGAUGAGGAGGCAUAGAAGGUGGAAUGAGAAAGUCUAGCUUCUCUUCUGCCCAGAGAGCAGGAAGGAUGAAAAGGAGUGUAUUAGGGUUCCCCAGAGAGGCAGAAGCAAUUGGAUAUAGAUAUAGAUAAGAGGGAGAUUUCUUAUAGGAAUUGGCUUUCAUGGUUAUGGAGGCCGAGAGGUUCCUCAAUCUGCCAUCUGUGAGCUUGACCACCAGGAAAACUGAUGGUGUACUUCACUUUGAGCCUGAAGGCCUGAGAAUGGGGGUGGGGGCCGCUGCUCUGGUAGGUCCAGUUCUGAUGCUGAAAGCCUGAUGUCCACGGGGAGGAGGAAAUGGAUGUGCCAGCUCAAGCAGAGACAGAACUAAUCUGCCCUCCUUCAUGUCUUUGUCCUACUCUGGUGCUCAGUGGAUGGGAUGGUGACCUCCCACCUUCGGGAGGGCCACCUGCUCUACUCAGUUCACCAGUUCAAAUGCUCAUCUCUUCCACCCUCGCAGACACACCCAGGUAGAGUGUUUCACCAGCUAUGGGGCAUUCCUCAGCCAGUCAAGAAACAACAGAAAAUUAACCCUCACCAGCAAGAACAAUAUUUGAAGAGCUAGAUGCAGUGGGUGCAGUUUCUGCAGACAGAACUGAUGAAAAGCAUGGAUCUAAAGGUGCAGGAAUGCGUAUCAAGCAGGACAUAUCUAUAAAAAAUACACACUUGCUCCCGUUGUGAUAAAUCAGCAAAACACUGAGAACAAAGAGAAGAUCUUGAAAGCAUAUUUUAAAUUAUCAGUUCAAAUUUAUAAUGGUCAUAGGUUAUUCAGGAUUUCAACUUUCUUGGACCAAUGUAGUCUUCCGGGAAUUUAUUCAUUUUAUCUGUGCUCUCACGCUUUUUGCUAUAGAUUUGAAUUUGAGAAAUUUUUGUUUUCUGUAGCAUCUGUAGUUGUGACUUUUUUUUAUCCUUAAUAUUUAUUUUUACCUUCUUUCUGCUCACUGAUCUUGUCAGAAAAUUUUUUAAUCUUUCUUGUUCAAACAAUGAACUUUUGAUUUUGUUGAUUCUAUGGUAUAUAUAUAUUUUUUUAAAUUAGUUUUUGCUUUUACAUUUACUAUUUUCUUCUGCUUGUUUGGCUUUAUUUUGCUGUUCUCUGUUUCAUUUCCCAGAACAAGGAUUGAACCCAGGCCACAGUAGUGAAAGCACUGAGUCCUAACCACUAGGCCACCAGAGAACUCCCUCUGUUUUAUUUCUUAGUAUAGAUGUUGGCUCAUUGCUUUAAACUGUUCUUCUUAAAGUACAGUUCCCUGUAAGUACUUCUUUACUAUAUUUUGCACAUUUUGGCAUGUGAUACUUUCAUUAUAAUUCAAUUCCAUAUGCAUUCUAGCUUCCCUUAUGAUUGCCUCUGUGACCCACACGUUAUGUAAAUGCGUGUUGAAGGCUGAAGCCUCCUUGCUUUCAUUGCUGCUUUCUAAGCAUUAUUUGCUUUCUCUUUGAAAACCGCCCGCCACCCAUCCCUGCCUGGUAGCCUCUGAUUUUGCACUGGGAAGGACAUGACUUACUUUUUGGAUGAGGAGGCAAGGAUGGUGUUGAUCAAAACAAUACACAGCCACAAGCCGUUGAGCGUCCUCACUGCAGACAACUGCCCUGACUGUAUUGUUUCAGCUUCUGUCAACUUCAACCUAGUUCUUCAAGUGCAUGUGUGGCCUUGAGAGCCAGCCGCAUUUUAUGUGUAUUAGGCCCAGGGGACUCAUUUUAAUCUGCGGACGCCUCACAGACAGGAAGAUUGGAGUGAUGGGGCUGGGGAGAGGAGUGAGCAGAGAAGUGAGGCCAAAGCUCAUUCGUCCAUCUUCUUAGAACCCAAACUAAGCAAUGCAAUUCAGCUGGUCUUUGGGGGGCCCCUGAGAACAUAAGUUUUGAGCUGGUGGGCCACUUGGAGACUGAAUGAUCGAACAUCUUCUUUUGCGGAUGAGGAAUCAGCUAUAACUCAGUAUUCAAGAAACUACAGAAUCACUCAAUUUUUCCAUUCAUUUAACAAAAAAAGGAAAAAAAUUUUUAAGUUUUUGCGUGCUUAUUGCAUGCCAGGUAUCUUUUUAGGUACUGGAGUACAGCAGUAAACAAAACCAAGUCCCUGCCAUCAUGGAGUUUACCUAGGAAGGGAGAGACAGAAAGUCAAGUAAAUAUGUAGUACAUCAGGCAUUCCCGUCGUGGUGCAGUGGAAACGAAUCCAACCAGUAUCCAUGAGGACGCAGGUUUGAUCCCUGGCCUUGCUCAGUGUGUUAAGGAUCCAACGUUGCCGAGAGC
This 6239-nucleotide long non-coding RNA is filed under the name Sus scrofa (pig). RNAcentral's name for it is "lncRNA (ENSSSCG00000062907.1)". The record is from RNAcentral. Lineage: Eukaryota; Metazoa; Chordata; Mammalia; Artiodactyla; Suidae.